GAUGAACGCUGGCGGCGUGCCUAAUACAGGCAAGUCGAGCGAACGGACGAGAGGCUGCCUUCUCGGUGGUUGGCGGGGGACGGGUGGGAAACACGUGGAUAACCUCCCUUUAAGACGGGGUUAACUUCGGGAACCCGAGCCUAUUCCGGGUAAAUAUUUUGAACCCCAGGGUUCAAAAUGAAAGACGGGUCUUCCGGUCCCUAUUAAUGGGUUCCGCGCUGCAUUAGCUAGUUGGUAAGGUAACGGCUUACCAAGGCAACGAUGCAUAGCCGACCUGAGAGGGUGAUCGGCCACACUGGAACUGAGACACGGUCCAGACUCCUACGGGAGGCAGCAGUAGGGAAUCUUCCGCAAUGGGCGAAAGCCUGACGGAGCAACGCCGCGUGAGUGAUGAAGGUCUUCGGAUCGUAAAACUCUGUUAUUAGGGAAGAACAUAUGUGUAAGUAACUGUGCACAUCUUGACGGUACCUAAUCAGAAAGCCACGGCUAACUACGUG
RNAcentral lists this ribosomal RNA (497 nucleotides) under uncultured bacterium. RNAcentral's name for it is "partial 16S ribosomal RNA". It matches the Rfam family "Bacterial small subunit ribosomal RNA", at positions 28 to 507 of the family's 1533-position model. The record is from RNAcentral.